GUGGGGAAUCUUGCGCAAUGGGCGAAAGCCUGAUGCAGCCAUGCCGCGUGAAUGAUGAAGGUCUUAGGAUUGUAAAAUUCUUUCACCGGGGACGAUAAUGACGGUACCCGGAGAAGAAGCCCCGGCUAACUUCGUGCCAGCAGCCGCGGUAAUACGAAGGGGGCUAGCGUUGCUCGGAAUUACUGGGCGUAAAGGGCGCGUAGGCGGACAGUUUAGUCAGAGGUGAAAGCCCAGGGCUCAACCUUGGAAUUGCCUUUGAUACUGGCUGUCUUGAGUACGGGAGAGGUGAGUGGAACUCCGAGUGUAGAGGUGAAAUUCGUAGAUAUUCGGAAGAACACCAGUGGCGAAGGCGACUCACUGGCCCGUUACUGACGCUGAGGCGCGAAAGCGUGGGGAGCAAACAGGAUUAGAAACCCUGGUAGUCC
RNAcentral lists this ribosomal RNA (425 nucleotides) under uncultured bacterium. RNAcentral describes it as "partial 16S ribosomal RNA". It matches the Rfam family "Bacterial small subunit ribosomal RNA", at positions 354 to 796 of the family's 1533-position model. The record is from RNAcentral.